RNAcentral lists this long non-coding RNA (1903 nucleotides) under Lytechinus variegatus (green sea urchin). RNAcentral describes it as "uncharacterized LOC121410112". The record is from RNAcentral. Lineage: Eukaryota; Metazoa; Echinodermata; Echinoidea; Temnopleuroida; Toxopneustidae.
CAUUUUUUUCAAUUUUGAGUUUUUUGCAUUUUUGGACAUCUAUGACUUAUAUCUUGAACCUCAAAAAGUUUCAGAUCACAAAAAUGUCUAAUUACGUUGCUAUGACGACAUGACAUUCAAGAAAAUACCGGGUAAAAGGAUUUCUUGUUUUUACGAAGUGACGGAUAAGCAGCCGUCAAUACGUGAAAACAAACGAAUACGCUUUGCGCUCAGAAGUUUUUUCACGAAGUGACGGAAGGCAAAUAUUUACAGUUUGGAACAGCCGAAGACCAUGAAAUGAUGCAGUAUAUACAAUAAGCGAUGUUUCAGAGAACAAACGAGAGAAGUCCUGGAACUGGUACACUUGCUAUUUAACAAUGCUGAUGGUCAGAUACAAUUCCAGGUUGGAUCCAGGGGCCGACACGCUUGUCAGAUGGGUCAUUGAUAAUUCCCUGAACACCGCAGAUGUGAUCUGAUUUGGUGACAUGACAGUUGAAUCGGUAGUGACUGGAUUUUAAUAGUGUACCCUGGUUUUGAACUGUUGAAGUAACCAAACUAGAAACAUCUUCUGAGAACUCUAGACUGCAAUUCUGAUGAUGAAACUCUGUCUACACUUGUGAAAAAUGUGAAGGAGUUGGCUCUGCCCCAUGGCCUUUCCGGGAUCAGGGCUCUCAUAUAACUUUUUCUUUAUUUUCUAGCUGGGUAACUGAUACCAAUAUUUAUUUUCUUGUGAUUUUGACUACAACAUAAGUUUAGUUUUAAUUUUGAUAGGACUUUCAAAUCUGGUUUCAGCUUUAGAGCAGUGUAUUAUAUAAUGAAACUGUACUGCUUCAACUAGUCUGUGCUUUUAUAGUGAUAUAAUUAUGAAGUCCUUUAAAUAUAUUUUAUAUAUACAGUCAAAUAUAAAGUUCAGAAUAGUCACUUAUCUGCUAUACUGCUAUACUUACAUGUGUAAAUUGCUUAUACAAAUCGUCCACAUAUGGAUGCAAAAGAAUUACCCUUUUUUCAUUUGUUUGGCAUGUUUUCAUUUUUCUUGGUGCUAUCUUAAACAGAAAUACUGCAUAUUUCUACAUUAAAAAAAACCGGAAUGUUACUAGCUGUAUUGUGCUGAAAUGUACUCUCUAAUAAUAACAAUCUUACAAAUUAGACUGACAUGUAUUGUGAAAUUCGAUAGUUGCAUGAUAUAUUACUAGUAAGGAUGUAAGGGUGAAAAUCAGCUAGGUUUUUGUGAAUUCAUUUUCAAAGGCUAAAUGUGUUUAUACAGACACCCCACCCUUCCAAGAGGUAAUGUUUUAUCGGUUUAUCAGGGGUGUGAGAAUUCUUACGCUGAUUUUAGUUAUUUUUGCUUUUUAUUUUAAGCUUGAUAUCCCCCCUUUCUGUACAAUAGUGUGAGAACUCAUUCAAUUUAAUCCCCCAACUCUCUACAAAAUUGUCAGGUCUUUAUUUGUCAUCACUCACACACCUGGUUCAUGCAGUUCUAUAGUCGAUGUAUCAUCAUUUUAUUCCAGAAUAUCCAACUGUUAAAUUUUGUUAUUGAAUGUUAUUCAAGAAAGAAAUAAUGCAUGAUACGUUUUAGCUUGAGGUUAAAGAUACACUACAGCACAUGUUUUUCUGUCUAUUUGUAGUAAGAAUUUUACUCUUUUUUACCCACUAGUUCAAAGACGUUAUUUGCUAAAAUUAUGAAGACAAUUUUUGUAAAGAUUUCAGAUUUGGAAGGAACUAAUGUGUAUUUUGAUAUAUCUUCCUGUUUUGGACUCUGACAAUUUGCAAUUAAAAAAAACCAAGUGUUUAAUUUGGAAAUGUAUUGAUGAGUGUAUUUAGCCAAUAACUUGAGAAUGAUGGAAAUUUUAUUGCUUUUGUCGCUGUCGUUUGUGAUUUUUAUUAUAAAUUUGUUAAAAAUUAUCCUGUUUGAUAUGACGUUAAA